RNAcentral lists this long non-coding RNA (369 nucleotides) under Brachypodium distachyon (stiff brome). RNAcentral describes it as "long non-coding RNA (BDIS_LNC004380)". Lineage: Eukaryota; Viridiplantae; Streptophyta; Magnoliopsida; Poales; Poaceae. The record is from RNAcentral.
AAAACCCCGGCACUGGUAAUUGGAACAGGACUGAGGGUUAACCACAUCCCUGUUCCACGCACCAGUGGCGGUGAUAUUGUAUAUACCCGCCACUGGUUAGUAUUUUGGUUCUAGUAUUAUAUCUAUACCAAUAUAUUAAAUUGGAGUUGGUGGUGAUGGUACGGUCGCGGCGGUACGUCACUUCACCGAAAUUACGAAUCUGCCACCGAUGUCUCCACGUGUCUUUUAAUCCCGGCUCCUACAGUCCUCAAGCGCAAAAAAAACACGUACCGCCCAAAAAAAAAACAACAGAGCCCUCCUCGCUCCUCCUCCUCUCCUAUGAAUCUCACCCCCACCCCCUGCUCGAUCCGGAUCUCCCCCACGCCCGCC